CUCUACCUCGUGGAUGGUAUGCAGAAUGUUCUUUAAAUAGACAAGUCAUUUUACAGGAAUGACACACUCUCACAUGUUGUUACAGGUGCUACAUCUGAAUCGAAAUCGGCGACACUCUUUACUUUGCGAAUCGAUUAAGGACCCCUGUACUAUCUUUGUAAACCACUUUUACUCCAGAGGGACCAAAAGUAACUCUUAUACUUUUCACUUUCGGUUAUGACGUUACAUUAACGGAUAGUUGACACUACACCAGGCUUUAAAGGACGGAUCAGUCUACGAAUAGCAACGAUUAUCAGGGAUAAUCCUGGAGGAGGCCAUUGACCCCUCAAAACUGAAAUCGACCCCUCCGUCUUCCAAUGCUCUUUUGAUUUUACAUAGAAGCCUGAGUUAAGAGCUGAUAUCGAUAGAUGGAAGUGACGUCACGUUCGACGACCAUGGCGUCAUCUAAAGCUUACCGUACGAUUCUGACAAUAUGCAGUCUAUCCGACUUUCUCCGCCAACACCAAUUAACACAACGGCAAGCACACACGUACAGGAAGGAACGACAAAACAUAUAAAACGGCAAGGAGUGCAUUAGGAAACAACAUCGUCAAAGAAUGCAUAGACAACGACGUGCAAGCGGCCAGUACUAUUACAAACUACCCUUUCAAACAGUACGACAACACUACUUAUUGGCCAUGUUGAGCGAGGAAAACCUACACUAUUUUUUAUUUGAAAAAAGACAUUCGUGUUUUUUUAACACCUUAGCUUAUUUAAUCAGCACAUUGUAAAUA
Mizuhopecten yessoensis (Yesso scallop) is the source of this 773-nucleotide long non-coding RNA. RefSeq lists it as uncharacterized. The record is from RefSeq and is a predicted model, not a curated record. The transcript is spliced from 4 exons. NCBI's taxonomy places the organism in Eukaryota, Metazoa, Mollusca, Bivalvia, Pectinida, Pectinidae.